CUGCUCACUUCGGCAGCACAUACACUAAAAUUGGAACAACGAUAUAGAGAAGAUUAGCAUGGCCCCUGUGCAAGGAUGACAUGCAAAGUCAUGAAGCGUUCCGUAUUAAA
Manis javanica (Malayan pangolin) is the source of this 110-nucleotide small nuclear RNA. The record is from RefSeq and is a predicted model, not a curated record. Lineage: Eukaryota; Metazoa; Chordata; Mammalia; Pholidota; Manidae.